This 254-nucleotide ribosomal RNA is filed under the name uncultured bacterium. RNAcentral's name for it is "partial 16S ribosomal RNA". It matches the Rfam family "Bacterial small subunit ribosomal RNA", at positions 524 to 776 of the family's 1533-position model. The record is from RNAcentral.
UACGUAGGGUGCGAGCGUUAUCCGGAAUCAUUGGGCGUAAAGAGCUCGUAGGCGGUUCAGCAAGUCGGCUGUGACAGUCCGAGGCCCAACCUCGGAAUUGCAGUCGAUACUUCUGUGACUCGAGUCCGGUAGAGGAGAACGGAAUUCCCGGUGUAGCGGUGAAAUGCGCAGAUAUCGGGAGGAACACCAGUAGCGAAGGCGGUUCUCUGGGCCGGCACUGACGCUGAGGAGCGAAAGCGUGGGGAGCGAACAGG